This 178-nucleotide unclassified non-coding RNA is filed under the name uncultured fungus. RNAcentral's name for it is "sequence contains ITS1". The record is from RNAcentral. Lineage: Eukaryota; Fungi.
UUAGCUUUAACGACGACUAAGACAACCACUAAAACGUGUGUAAAACCUUUGGCAGGGCACGGGGCUACGCCCCGACGCUUAGCGGCUCGCCGUCCCUGCCAAAGCAACAGAAGGGUGCACAAAGGAUGAGAGCGUAGGAGACUCUGUAAUGAUCCCUCCGCUGGUUCACCAACGGAGA